RNAcentral lists this transfer RNA (94 nucleotides) under Plectosphaerella plurivora. RNAcentral's name for it is "tRNA-Asn". The record is from RNAcentral. Lineage: Eukaryota; Fungi; Ascomycota; Sordariomycetes; Glomerellales; Plectosphaerellaceae.
UCCCUGGUGGCCUAGCUGGUUACGGCGUCCGACUGUUACUGCUUCAUAGCAGCGGCAUAUCGGGAGAUCGACAGUUCGAUCCUGUCUCGGGGAG